UCCUGACAGGCUGCGCUGUGUAGUCUGACAUUAGCCACGACAGGAGACGUACAUG
This 55-nucleotide non-coding RNA is filed under the name unclassified sequences. Its description in RNAcentral is "Mu-gpT-DE RNA". It matches the Rfam family "Mu-gpT-DE RNA". The record is from Rfam by way of RNAcentral.